RNAcentral lists this ribosomal RNA (660 nucleotides) under uncultured bacterium. RNAcentral describes it as "bacterial SSU rRNA". It matches the Rfam family "Bacterial small subunit ribosomal RNA", at positions 232 to 885 of the family's 1533-position model. The record is from RNAcentral.
CGCGGCCUAUCAGCUUGUUGGUGGGGUAACGGCCUACCAAGGCGAUGACGGGUAGCAGGCCUGAGAGGGUGGUCUGUCACACUGGGACUGAGACACUGCCCAGACUCCUACGGGAGGCUGCAGUCGAGAAUCUUCCGCAAUGGGCGAAAGCCUGACGGAGCGACGCCGCGUGGAGGACGAAGGCCCUCGGGUUGUAAACUCCUGUCACGGGUGAUGAAUGUGUAUGUGUUAAUAGCGCAUGCAUUGACGUAAGCCCGAAAGGAAGCACCGGCUAACUCCGUGCCAGCAGCCGCGGUAAUACGGAGGGUGCAAACGUUGUUCGGAAUCACUGGGCAUAAAGGGCUCGUAGGCGGCUGUGCAAGUGUGGAGUGAAAUCCCACGGCUCACCCGUGGAACUGCUUUGCAGACUGCACGGCUAGAGGAUGGUAGGGGAGAGCGGAACUCCUGGUGGAGCGGUGAAAUGCGUAGAUAUCAGGAGGAACACCGGUGGCGAAGGCGGCUCUCUGGUCCAUCUCUGACGCUGAGGAGCGAAAGCCAGGGUAGCGAACGGGAUUAGAUACCCCGGUAGUCCUGGCCGUAAACGAUGGGCACUAGCUAGGGGUCUCCCUGUGGGAUCCCUGGUGAAGCAAAUGUGAUAAGUGCCCCGCCUGGGGAGUACGG